GAGUUUGAUCCUGGCUCAGGAUGAACGCUGGCGGCGUGCCUAAUACAUGCAAGUCGAGCGAACAGACAAGGAGCUUGCUCCUUUGACGUUAGCGGCGGACGGGUGAGUAACACGUGGGUAACCUACCUAUAAGACUGGAAUAACUCCGGGAAACCGGGGCUAAUGCCGGAUAAUAUUUAGAACCGCAUGGUUCUAAAGUGAAAGAUGGUUUUACUAUCACUUAUAGAUGGACCCGCGCCGUAUUAGCUAGUUGGUGGGGUAAUGGCUUACCAAGGCAACGAUACGUAGCCGACCUGAGAGGGUGAUCGGCCACACUGGAACUGAGACACGGUCCAGACUCCUACGGGAGGCAGCAGUAGGGAAUCUUCCGCAAUGGGCGAAAGCCUGACGGAGCAACGCCGCGUGAGUGAUGAAGGUCUUCGGAUCGUAAAACUCUGUUAUUAGGGAAGAACAAAUGUGUAAGUAACUGUGCACGUCUUGACGGUACCUAAUCAGAAAGCCACG
RNAcentral lists this ribosomal RNA (504 nucleotides) under uncultured bacterium. RNAcentral describes it as "bacterial SSU rRNA". It matches the Rfam family "Bacterial small subunit ribosomal RNA", at positions 9 to 495 of the family's 1533-position model. The record is from RNAcentral.